AUCCAGCUGACGAGUCCCACUUAGGACGAAAUGUGCAUCCUGGAU
Molecule: non-coding RNA, 45 nt
Filed under: Trichobilharzia regenti
Lineage: Eukaryota; Metazoa; Platyhelminthes; Trematoda; Strigeidida; Schistosomatidae
Source: RNAcentral